This 360-nucleotide ribosomal RNA is filed under the name uncultured Methanomicrobiales archaeon. RNAcentral's name for it is "bacterial SSU rRNA". It matches the Rfam family "Archaeal small subunit ribosomal RNA", at positions 979 to 1338 of the family's 1478-position model. Lineage: Archaea; Methanobacteriati; Methanobacteriota; Methanomicrobia; Methanomicrobiales. The record is from RNAcentral.
GCUGAGAGGUGGUGCAUGGCCGUCGUCAGUUCGUACUGUGAAGCAUCCUGUUAAGUCAGGCAACGAGCGAGACCCACGCCAACAGUUGCCAGCUCGUCCUCCGGGAUGGAGGGGACACUGUUGGGACCGCCUCUGCUAAAGAGGAGGAAGGAAUGGGCAACGGUAGGUCAGCAUGCCCCGAAUUAAUUGGGCUACACGCGGGCUACAAUGGGUGGGACAAUGGGUAUCGACACCGAAAGGUGAAGGCAAUCUCCUAAACCCAUCCGUAGUUCGGAUUGUGGGCUGCAACUCGCCCACAUGAAGCUGGAAUCUGUAGUAAUCGUGUUUCAAAAUAGCACGGUGAAUAUGUCCCUGCUCCUU